CAAUAGCGUAUAUUAAAGUUGUUGCAGUUAAAAAGCUCGUAGUUGGACCUUGGACCUGGACAGGCGGUCCGCCUCACGGCGUGUACUGUCUUGCUGGGUCUUUCCUCUUGGUGAUCUGUUGUUUCGGCAGCAGGGAACCAGGACUUUUACUUUGAAAAAAUUAGAGUGUUCAAAGCAGGCUCGACGCCGGAAGAUAUUAGCAUGGAAUAAUAAAAUAGGACGUGCGGUUCUAUUUUGUUGGUUUUUGGAAUCGCCGUAAUGAUUAAUAGGGACAGUCGGGGGCAUUAGUACUCACAUGCUAGAGGUGAAAUUCUUGGAUUUUGUGAAGACUAACUUCUGCGAAAGCAUUUGCCAAGGAUGUUUUCAUUAA
RNAcentral lists this ribosomal RNA (370 nucleotides) under uncultured eukaryote. RNAcentral's name for it is "partial 18S ribosomal RNA". It matches the Rfam family "Eukaryotic small subunit ribosomal RNA", at positions 592 to 976 of the family's 1831-position model. The record is from RNAcentral.